GUUUGACCGGCACGUAGACCCCGCACGCGUCUUCAACCUUCGCUCGAACUCCCCUUCCUGUACGACAACGCCGCCACGCCCAGAUCGGUCUCCGGCGAUUCGUGUGACCCCGAACCCGUCGCGCCAAUCCAUGGGCAUCUAGCGAUCCUGCUUCUUCCUCUCGUCCGAUUCCCACAUCCAUCCUUCGGAUCCUUGUUCGAGAUCAACCACAUGGACCUCUCCGAGCUCCGCUACCCGAAGCUCCAUCGAUCGUCGAUUCCGUCACCACCAGCGUACAGGAGCGAACACACCGACCUCCGCCUGAACAGAACACCGCCGCCCGAGCCUCCCUCCACGGCCAAUUCCGGCGAGAGAGCUCAGAUUCGAGCUAUCCCACCCACACCAAAGAUCGUUGCUGCCGCCGUUGCUCUAGCUGAAUAGAGCGACGCUACCUGAAACUCGCUGUCGCCGCCUCCUGUUCAUCUGCUCGUGCGGUCGUUGCAGGACCCACCAGAGAACUCACGACGAAUACCCUAAGUCCGUCGUGCCGCGCUUCAUCCGUGCUAUUCCCGAAGUCGUCCCCAAUUUUCCUCCGCAGAGACGAGGGCACGGAUUCGAUUAAGCUCCGCCACCGAGCACCCUUCGUCGCUUGAUUCUGAUGACUAUUGAUACCGGAGCAAGCUACCGACACACCCUCGAUCCCAUCGGAGUUUGGCGGCACCACCGAGCGACGACGCCACCAACAGAGGGCACUUCCUUCGCCGUUUUACGCCACCAUCACCACCCCCGUCGAACACCGCACCCACAAUGCCGCCUCAACUUCGCCGGAGGACCACCGGAGUAGUGCCGCCGCCCCCGCCCGUAGUGCCGCUGUCGUCCGUUGGCUCACGAUUGCUCGGAGCGUGACGAGUAGAAUUGUCAGGAAUUGUGAGUGCGACGAUCUUCAUCAAAUAUACCAGAUUUUAUACGACGAGUGAGUGAUACGAUGUAGGUUAUGAUGUCUAUACUCGACAUUUGCCUGUGGUGUUGAUGGACUUCAUGGAGAUUUUAUUUGCUUUUCUGCUGCAUUUUGUUUGUAUGCUAGCUUGAGCAAUGCAGGUAUGUAUUAUAUUAAAUUCUGGAUCUACGAUGUAAUAUUAUGACAUGUGGUUUAUUCUUGAUAUUACAUCUUGUACUGUGUGUCCUAGCUAUUGAUCCAGGGACUAGCACAGUGAGCACAGAGACAUCGAAUCUUAUCAGGUUCGGAGUCGUUACACGCAUAUCACACACAUCAUGUUAAGAUGAACCGUUUCCGUUCUCUUACCUAAUCGAAAACAGAUUGUCUGAGUGAACUGUAUGUCGUAUGUCACACACACCUUGAUCUGGCUGAUUGUUUCUAUUGCAUUCCCAAAUUGCACAAAGUUCAUCGGAGGGAACUGUAUGCCGUAUAUCGCACACACAUUGAUAUGGCUGCCCGUUUCUGUUGUUCUUCCUCAUCGCCAACAGUUCUGCUGGAUCAACCGUAUGCCCUGCAUUGCAC
This 1498-nucleotide ribosomal RNA is filed under the name Triticum aestivum (bread wheat). RNAcentral's name for it is "partial small subunit ribosomal RNA". The record is from RNAcentral. Lineage: Eukaryota; Viridiplantae; Streptophyta; Magnoliopsida; Poales; Poaceae.